GAAGCGGCUCUCCCAACUUGCGCGAGGAGGGUGAAGUCCUGGGGAGGAAUUGAAGGACCGGAUGGUCCGGUUUCGAUGGCAACCCCGGGGUCUCACCCUUGGGUCCUUUUGAGGUUCUCUCAUUGGCUUACAAAAGGGAGAUUAGAAGACUUGCUUUUUCAACCUUCCCACAUCUAAAGAUGCUGAAAAAGAUGAUACUGACAUCAAUAUAAAAGCAUUCUCUGACUCAGACUGAAUGCUUCUUGAGACCAAGGAUCAAGUGUUCACCGCCAUUUGCCCAGCACCUGCCACAAUGCCUGACACUUACUAUAAAAUGGAAUGAAGCACUGAUACAUGCUACAACAUGGAUGAACCUUGAUAACAUUAUGCCAACUAAAAGAAGCUUGUUAUAAAGUGUACAUUUAUAUGCUACGACCAGAAAAGGAAAAUCUUCAGACAGAAAUCAGAUCAGUAGCCGCCCGAAAUUGGAGGUGAAAUUGAGGAUUGGCUGCAAAUACUUGUGAGGGAACUUCAUGGGGUUUUGGAAGUGUUCUAAACCUAAACUGUAACAGUGAUUGCAUAGCACUGUAAAUUUAAUAAAAAUCAUUGGCUGUACACUUACAAUGGGUGAAUAUGAUAUGUAAAUUAUAUUUCAAUAAAACUGUAAAAUUGUUAAGUGAA
Long non-coding RNA from Lynx canadensis (Canada lynx), 660 nucleotides. RefSeq lists it as uncharacterized. The record is from RefSeq and is a predicted model, not a curated record. The transcript has 4 exons. NCBI's taxonomy places the organism in Eukaryota, Metazoa, Chordata, Mammalia, Carnivora, Felidae.